RNAcentral lists this long non-coding RNA (1013 nucleotides) under Helianthus annuus (common sunflower). RNAcentral's name for it is "hypothetical non coding rna". Lineage: Eukaryota; Viridiplantae; Streptophyta; Magnoliopsida; Asterales; Asteraceae. The record is from RNAcentral.
UUCUUUCAACAUUAUCAACCGCCUCUUUCUCUCUCUAUUCUUUUCCUUCACUGCUUCACACCGAAACCCUAGCCUCCGUGUUCCUUUGGCUUGAAGCUUCUACAUCUCAUUUUCUCUGAAAACAUACGCUUGUGCUUGAAUCGACUAAUAAGGGAGACACGCUUUGCCCUUUCCAAUUCCUGCUCUCAAACCCUACUGUCCGAAUACACAUCUUCCCCUUCACGUUUCCUGCCGAUCAAUCGAUUUAUCAAUCCUAUAAUAUACUAAUCUCAUCAAUGUUGAAAGCCAUCAUCAAUUUGGCGUAGAUGGGUAUUCAAGAAAAUAAAGGCAUAAGUGGGAGUUUGGGUUCGUUUCUUACUCGCAGAUGCUUUGGUUGUCUUAUGAGGGGCUACUUAGAAGGUGAGUAAUUAAUGGUUAUUUUGGAAACUUUGCACUAAUUUUCUUGCUAAAUGGUCAUGACGAUGUUGAGUUGUGAGGUUUUGGUGUGUGCUGCCUCCUUUAGAAGAAGAGGAUGUUCCUCAACUAUACCCAAAAGGGUCAAAUCUUGGUGAGUGAGCUUGAGAAACAGUUGAAAAUGGAGAUAAAAUCAAGAAACAGAGCCAGAGCCAGAGUCUAAAAGAUCUGUCUAAUGAGAAUAAGAGUUAGAAAGAAAGAUGGAGCUGAAGAUCUUUUAAAAAAGAAGAUGACAAUGGCUAGAUUUUAUGUAUUUUGGUUCCAGCGGAAUGAAAUGGUCAAGACCGGGUUCUCCGGGUUCGAAGGAACCCGACUUUGUAGUGGGGCUACUUCAACUUAAAAGAUGAAACAAGGGUUACUAAAUAAAGUUCAAUAAGCAAUCCCAAACACCCCUCUAAAAGUAACUUAUUUAGUUAAUGCUUAAAAGUCAAAUGUGGUCAUGAUUUGUUCUUUUGAUGUUUUCUUUUCUUAUAUGCUCAGGCAUGAUUUUACUUUCAACAACUUAUAUCAUGAGUUAGUUACUGUCAUUCAAUGUUAUACAAUCUUUUUGUUCAGUUUAC